This 783-nucleotide ribosomal RNA is filed under the name uncultured prokaryote. RNAcentral describes it as "bacterial SSU rRNA". It matches the Rfam family "Bacterial small subunit ribosomal RNA", at positions 28 to 829 of the family's 1533-position model. The record is from RNAcentral.
GAUGAACGCUGACAGAAUGCUUAACACAUGCAAGUCGAUUCGAUUUACCUUCGGGUAUUGAGGAUGGCGGACGGGUGAGUAACGCGUAAGGAACUUGCCUCUUGGUCUGGGACAACUGUUGGAAACGACAGCUAAUACCGGAUAUUAUGAGAUUCUCGCAUGGGAAACUUAUGAAAGCUAUAUGCGCCAAGAGAGAGCCUUGCGUUCCAUUAGCUAGUUGGUGGGGUAACGGCCCACCAAGGCGACGAUGGAUAGCCGGCCUGAGAGGGUGAACGGCCACAAGGGGACUGAGACACGGCCCUUACUCCUACGGGAGGCAGCAGUGGGGAAUAUUGGACAAUGGGCCACAAGCCUGAUCCAGCAAUUCUGUGUGCACGAUGAAGGUCUUCGGAUUGUAAAGUGCUUUCAGUUGGGAAGAAGAAAGUGACGGUACCAACAGAAGAAGCGACGGCUAAAUACGUGCCAGCAGCCGCGGUAAUACGUAUGUCGCAAGCGUUAUCCGGAUUUAUUGGGCGUAAAGCGCGUCUAGGCGGAAAAAUAAGUCUGAUGUUAAAAUGCGGGGCUCAACUCCGUAUUGCGUUGGAAACUGUUUUUCUAGAGUACUGGAGAGGUGGGCGGAACUACAAGUGUAGAGGUGAAAUUCGUAGAUAUUUGUAGGAAUGCCGAUGGAGAAGUCAGCUCACUGGACAGAUACUGACGCUAAAGCGCGAAAGCGUGGGGNGCAAACAGGANUAGAUACCCUGGUAGUCCACGCCGUAAACGAUGAUCACUAGGUGNUGGGGG